GGUUGCAUAGCUCAAUUGGAUAGAGCGUCGGUCUACGAAACCGAAGGUUGAAGGUUCGAGUCCUUCUGCGACCGCCA
Molecule: transfer RNA, 77 nt
Filed under: Cytophagaceae bacterium
Lineage: Bacteria; Pseudomonadati; Bacteroidota; Cytophagia; Cytophagales; Cytophagaceae
Description: tRNA-Arg
Rfam family: tRNA
About the family: Transfer RNA (tRNA) molecules are approximately 80 nucleotides in length. Their secondary structure includes four short double-helical elements and three loops (D, anti-codon, and T loops). Further hydrogen bonds mediate the characteristic L-shaped molecular structure. tRNAs have two regions of fundamental functional importance: the anti-codon, which is responsible for specific mRNA codon recognition, and the 3' end, to which the tRNAs corresponding amino acid is attached (by aminoacyl-tRNA synthetases). tRNAs cope with the degeneracy of the genetic code in two manners: having more than one tRNA (with a specific anti-codon) for a particular amino acid; and 'wobble' base-pairing, i.e. permitting non-standard base-pairing at the 3rd anti-codon position.
Source: RNAcentral